CCCUUAGAUGUUCGGGGCCGCACGCGCGCUACACUGAAGGAAUCAGCACGUCUUUCUCCUUGUCCGAAAGGACUGGGUAACCCGCUGAACCUCCUUCGUGCUAGGGAUUGGGGCUUGUAAUUCUUCCCCAUGAACGAGGAAUUCCCAGUAAGCGCGAGUCAUAAGCUCGCGUUGAUUACGUCCCUGCCCUUUGUACACACCGCCCGUCGCUCCUACCGAUUGGAUGAUCCGGUGAGCUAUUCGGACUUUCGCAUUGUCGAUUUUCGGCUUUACGAGGGAAAGUCUCGCGAACCUUAUCAUCUAGAGGAAGGAGAAGUCGUAACA
RNAcentral lists this ribosomal RNA (324 nucleotides) under uncultured eukaryote. RNAcentral describes it as "partial 18S ribosomal RNA". It matches the Rfam family "Eukaryotic small subunit ribosomal RNA", at positions 1470 to 1796 of the family's 1831-position model. The record is from RNAcentral.